UGUCCAGACUCCUACGGGAGGCAGCAGUGGGGGAUAUUGCACAAUGGGGGGAACCCUGAUGCAGCGACGCCGCGUGGGUGAAGAAGCGCCUCGGCGCGUAAAGCCCUGUCAGCAGGGAAGAAAAUGACGGUACCUGAAGAAGAAGCCCCGACUAACUACGUGCCAGCAGCCGCGGUAAUACGUAGGGGGCAAGCGUUAUCCGGAUUUACUGGGUGUAAAGGGAGCGUAGACGGAAUUGCAAGUCUGAUGUGAAAAUCCGGGGCCCAACCCCGGAACUGCAUUGGAAACUGUAUUUCUAGAGUGUCGGAGAGGCAAGUGGAAUUCCUGGUGUAGCGGUGAAAUGCGUAGAUAUCAGGAGGAACACCAGUGGCGAAGGCGGCUUGCUGGACGAUGACUGACGUUGAGGCUCGAAAGCGUGGGGAGCAAACAGGAUUAGAUACCCUUGUA
RNAcentral lists this ribosomal RNA (447 nucleotides) under uncultured bacterium. RNAcentral's name for it is "bacterial SSU rRNA". It matches the Rfam family "Bacterial small subunit ribosomal RNA", at positions 328 to 792 of the family's 1533-position model. The record is from RNAcentral.